RNAcentral lists this ribosomal RNA (253 nucleotides) under uncultured bacterium. RNAcentral's name for it is "partial 16S ribosomal RNA". It matches the Rfam family "Bacterial small subunit ribosomal RNA", at positions 524 to 776 of the family's 1533-position model. The record is from RNAcentral.
UACAGAGGGUGCGAGCGUUGUCCGGAAUCACUGGGCGUAAUGCGCGCGCAGGCGGUCAUCUACGUCUGGGGUGAAAGCCCGGAGCUCAACUCCGGGAUUGCCUUGGAUACGGGAUGACUUGAGGAUCGGAGAGGCAAGGGGAAUUCCACGUGUAGCGGUGAAAUGCGUAGAGAUGUGGAGGAACACCUGUGGCGAAGGCGCCUUGCUGGCCGAUUUCUGACGCUGAGGAGCGAAAGCGUGGGGAGCGAACAGG